Molecule: ribosomal RNA, 1291 nt
Filed under: Microbispora hainanensis
Lineage: Bacteria; Bacillati; Actinomycetota; Actinomycetes; Streptosporangiales; Streptosporangiaceae
Description: partial 23S ribosomal RNA
Rfam family: Bacterial large subunit ribosomal RNA
Source: RNAcentral
AGUGGACGCGAGCAUCUUUGUGGCCAAGUUAGUUAGGGCACACGGUGGAUGCCUUGGCAUCAGGAGCCGAUGAAGGACGUGGGAGGCUGCGUUAAGCCUCGGGGAGUCGCCAACCAGACGUUGAUCCGGGGAUGUCCGAAUGGGGAAACCUAGCACCAGUCAUGUGGUGUUGCCGCCGUCUGAAUGUAUAGGGCGGUUGGUGGUAACGCGGGGAAGUGAAACAUCUCAGUACCCGUAGGAGAAGAAAACAAAUAGUGAUUCCGUGAGUAGUGGUGAGCGAAAGCGGAGGAGGCUAAACCGUGCGCGUGUGAUAGCCGGCGGGCGUUGCGUGUGCGGGGUUGUGGGACCUUCCGGGGGAGACCGCCGUCUCUUCAAGCAGUGAGAAAUCGGUGGGGUAGUCGAACGCUCUGGGAAGGGCGGCCGUAGACCGUGAUAGCCGGGUAGGCGAAAUUCUGCCGACUGCUGGGAGUGUUCCCGAGUAGCACGGGGCUCGAGGAAUCCUGUGUGAAUCUGCCAGGACCACCUGGUAAGCCUAAAUACUUCCUGAUGACCGAUAGUGAACGAGUACCGUGAGGGAAAGGUGAAAAGCGCCCCGGUGAGGGGUCGUGAAAUAGUACCUGAAACCGUGUGCCUACAAGCCGUAGGAGCGUAGUCGCCUUUGGGCGGCUGUGAUGUGACUGCGUGCCUUUUGAAGAAUGAGCCUGCGAGUUAUGGUGUGUGGCGAGGUUAACCCGUGUGGGGGAGCCGUAGCGAAAGCGAGUCUGAAUAGGGCGUUUGAGUCGCAUGCUGUAGACCCGAAGCGGGGUGAUCUACGCAUGGGCAGGUUGAAGCGUGGGUAAGACUGCGUGGAGGACCGAACCCACCAGGGUUGAAAACCUGGGGGAUGACCUGUGUGUAGGGGUGAAAGGCCAAUCAAACUCCGUGAUAGCUGGUUCUCCCCGAAAUGCAUUUAGGUGCAGCGUUGCGUGUUGCUUGCCGGAGGUAGGGCUCUGGAUGGCUGAUGGGCCCGACAAGGUUACUGACGUCAGCCAAACUUCGAAUGCCGGUAAGUUGAGCGUGGCAGUGAGACUGCGGGGGAUAAGCUCCGUGGUCGAGAGGGAAACAGCCCAGAUCACCGACUAAGGCCCCUAAGCGUGUGCUAAGUGGGAAAGGAUGUGGAGUCGCAGUGACAACCAGGAGGUUGGCUUAGAAGCAGCCAUCCUUGAAAGAGUGCGUAAUAGCUCACUGGUCAAGUGAUUCUGCGCCGACAAUGUAGCGGGGCUCAAGUACACCGCCGAAGUCGUGGCACCGC